Molecule: ribosomal RNA, 2028 nt
Filed under: bacterium
Lineage: Bacteria
Description: partial 23S ribosomal RNA
Rfam family: Bacterial large subunit ribosomal RNA
Source: RNAcentral
GUGUAGGGGUAGAGCACUGAUCGGGUGUCUCGUGAGCAAUCGCGAGCAUCUAGUCAAACUCCGAAUACUAUGCAGUGUUUCAUGGCACUCAGCACCUGGGAGCUAAGUUCCAGGAGCAAAAGGAAAACAAACCAGACCUACAGCUAAGGUCUCAAAGUACAAGUUUAGUGGAAAAGGAAGUUCAUAUCCAAAGACACCUAGGAGGUCGGCUUAGAAGCAGCCAUCCUUUAAAGAAAGCGUAACAGCUCACUAGCCGCAGGAUAUGUGCGCCGAAAAUUCAACGAGGCUCAAACUUGUCACCGAAGCUUAGGGUUUCAUCAAUUUAUUGAUGGAGCGGUAAGGGAGCGUUCUGUGUGCGUUGAAGGUACCCCGUGAGGAGGUGCUGGAGCGAUCAGAAGUGAGAAUGCCGGCAUGAGUAGCGAAAUUGGGGUGAGAAUCCCCGACUCCGAAUGACCAAGGUUUCCGCACCCACGUUCGUCGUGUGCGGGUUAGGCGACCCUAAGGUGAGCCCCGUUAAUCGGGGGUAGCCGAUGGAUUACCGGUUAAUAUUCCGGUCCUUGGUAUGAUUCGUUUGACUUGGGGAGGGACGGUGAUGGAUACCGCGUAUGUACAUGUGAAUUGUGCAUCAAAGCAACAAAGCAGUCUGGAUAGGCAAAUCCGUUCAGGCGUUUAUCUGAGUUGUGAUAGGUCGAGAAUCCGAAAGGAGUCUUGAUACGUGAGAUUUCAGCACCCUGGAAAAGCUUCGCAAGGAGAAUCAUAUUAAAUCGUACCUAUAACCGACACAGGUGGUCAAGUCGAGAAGACUAAGGGAAGCGAGAGACACUAGUUUAAGGAACUCGGCAAAUCAACUGGGCGUACUCUAGAAAGAUGCCCUCCCUAUCGCAAGAUAGGGCGCAGUGAAUGACGUAGGAUUGACUGUUUACCAAAAACACAGGUCUGUGCAAACUCGUAAGAGGAAAUAUACGGGCUGAGGCCUGCCCAGUGCUGGAAGGUUAAGUGCGAGGGUUCUUGUCGCAAGACAAGUUGCCUUCAAUCGAAGCCCCAGUGAACGGCAGCAGUAACUAUAACUGUUCUAUGGUAGCGAAAUUCCUUGUCGCUUAAUUGGUGACCCGCAUGAAAGGUUUAACAAGUCUUACACUGUCUUAAACUAGUACUCGGCGAAAUUGAAAUGGCUGUGAAGAUGCGGCCUACUGACACCAGGACAAAAAGACCCCGUGAAGCUUUACUACAACUUGACACUGAUGUUGUAUAAGGAUUUGUUUAGCAUAGGUGGGAGCUCCCUCAUUUAGUGAUGGGGCAACAGUGAAAUACCACUCGAUUCUUAUACGACAUCUCACCCAACUGUACUGCAAACGUACAGGGGGACACUGUUUGGUGGGUAGUUUAACUGGGGAGGUUGCUUGCUAAAGAGUAACGCAAGCGCGCAAUGGUACCCUUGGCCCGGAUGGAAAUCGGGCUGGACGUGCAAUAGCAUAAGGGUGCUUAACUGUGAGGCAUACAAGCCGAUCAGAUGCGAAAGCAGGUUAUAGUGAUCCUCGUGCCCUUUGUGGAAAGGGCCGGGCUUAUCGGAUAAAAGCUACUCCGGGGAUAACAGAGUUAUCGCGCCUAAGCGUCCCUAGCGUCGGCGCGGUUUGCUACCUCGAUGUCGGCUCAUCGCAUCCUGGGGCUGAAGAAGGUCCCAAGGGUUUGGCUGUUCGCCAAUUAAAGCGGUACGCGAGCUGGGUUCAGACCGUCGUGAGACAGGUCGGCCUCUAUCCGGUGUCAGCGUUGGAAGGUUGAGAGAAUUUGCCCCUAGUACGAGAGGACCGGGGUGAGGUGAUCCCUAGUGUUCCUGUUGUUGCUGUCAAGCGCAUUGCAGGGUAGCUACAUCAUUUUUGGAUAACCGCUGAAAGCAUCUAAGCGGGAAGCCAUCCUCAAGAUUAACCGUCCCCAUUAGACCCGUGGAAGACUACCACGUUGAUAGGCAGCAAGUGCAAGUUUGGUAACAGAUUUAGCUUAGCUGUACUAAGUGUCAAUUGAACAUCUAUU